AGUCUGUAACCCCGUCCACUCUGGCAGCAUUGAAUGAGUGCAGUGGCACAGGUUGUCAGGAAGUGACUCCUGUCCAGCAAGAGAAUAUCUAAAUUGAGUGUCUGGAAAAACAAACAAUUCAUGUCAAAAAGCUGUUCAAUCCACUUAGCAAAAGCAACAUCAAAAAGUAAGCUGUCAAGUGAACCUGGAGAAUAAACACAGAGCAGAGUGCACUGAAUGUGAAAAAGGCCUGGGUCAUCUUUAUUGAAUCUGCUCCACAGGGAUGUGGACAGAAGACUACCCAAACAUUUCACAACUCUGGCCUGCAGUGUCAAUCCUGGCAAUAGGACUCCUUGAAGGCAGCAGAGUGGUGCAUGGACUUCAUUUCAAGAAGACAACAAACAGACUCAGUGAUGGAGAGAAUCAUCAUGGAUGGAUAUAAUCUCUAGAAGACAGCAAAUAAUGGAGGAUGCAGGAGGGGUCCGGGGUGUUGGCAGGAAAAAAAACGGCGUACACAAAAAGUGUCAGUCCCACAAUUAUAAGACCAACUCCUGGCAGAAUCAUGUCACGAACCUGGGAGGAAGUUUUGUAGCCGUAGCUUAUUCAGCACUGCGAGGCAACACACUCAGCACAACAUAGCUCUCCCCCUCCAUGUCCUGGCAAGCUAAUACAUUUUUAUUACUUGUGUCAGGCCGUUUUAAAGGUACCACACUAUGCAAAUGAUGAAUUCUUCCCGGGGUGUAUUUUCUUGCUGACAGUUUGGAGAAAAGCUGAGUGUCACAACAUAGUUUUUUUUUUUUUUACUUUGCUUCUAGUCUUGGUUGGAACUACUUUCUCUCCACAUACGUACUAUAUCUCAAAGCUAUAGGACUGUUUUUUUGUGGAUUCAUGCCAGGUCCUCUUCCACAGUGUGGAAAGUAACACUUUAUUAGGAUGUAACCUCUCCAAGCGAAUGCUGACCAUCAGAGUUAGCCAUUUCAAUCAUUUCGCACCAGAUUUCCACUUGUUGCUACAUGCUUUUAAGACUCGUAAUUGGGGGUGAAAGGGAAGCCGUCUUAAUGGUGUUGGGUCUGACAGAAAUGGCUCGAGCCGCCUUCUAUAACUCAUGUUUCUCUCCCUCGCUUGCAGCCUCACUCUAAUGGGACAUGCCUCAAACUGAACAAUAGUUCCAUUAAACACCAAGUCAGAAACAAGAAGUUGAACACCGAGCCUUUCAAACUGGCGAGGGCCUGAAAGCUGAAAGAUGGAAUUUCAGCUUCUGCAGAUUAAAAGCCCAACGCCGCAGAUGGAAGUGAAAAAGAAUGAGAAGAGAGCGAGAGAGAGAAAGAAUGGUAGACGGAGGGAAAAACGAGGAAGCACAGGAGCAAGACAGAGGUGGCAGGCAGUCAAAGUGGCAGUUACACUGUAAAUAAGAUCUCCCCACAGGGUGCUUAACUCUGGACUGCCAUUGUCUGGCCUUUAAUAGCUUACAGGGCUGAGAGAGACAGAUUAGAGCAAAACUGCAGGGACACAGAAAUAUAGGCUUUGUCUACAGCUGGGAUUUAUCUCCCACCCUCAGUCUGAACUUUUGUUUUCCUGGGGGCUUCUACUGUGUUGACUCGAAAAGACCUGACUUGUGUCUCACUCCCCCAUCGAGUUUGAAUCAUUAUCACCUCAAAGAGACGAUCCCGACUCUGUUAACGCUCUGCUUUUGAACAAAUAAAUCUGCUCGACGGAACGUGCAGAAUUGAUGGACGUGGGGUAGUUGGUGAACUUUUUCAACUUUUACUGGGAUGCAUUUUUCCUCGGCGGAAAAGCAGAGUAGCGUGGAUCGAAAGCAGGCUCAUUAAUCAAAGUGCAGCCUAAAGGGAAAACAUACUGGGCUACAUUAAUUUUCACAGCGGAGUGGCUGAGGGAAAUGAUUAAUAUAUUACAGAGAGGAAACAGGUUAAGAAGGCCUGAUUACUGUCAUAUAGCAUAUCAAUGGGAAGUUAUGCAUUAUUUGCCUUUUUUGUCAUCGUAAAAGAGCUGCGACACAGAAAAUAAGUAUUAAACAGUGUAUUAUUUGUCUGCUGCAGAUCCAAAGAUUAAUAAAUAAUGCUUUUUUUCCAGAGUUUAGGCUACACAACCAAGCUGAAAAGAGUCGAGGGAGUGUCAUUUACAUAAUACACCUCGCAUUUAAAAUCAGGUGUUCGUUAAUAAUGAGCUCUUGUGUUUGAAGGAGCUCUUCAUUAGUGUGAAUGGGCAUGUGAUCGCCCGCGCUUUGAUGUGACUUCACACGGCCUGAAAAAAAAAAAAAAAAAAAGAACGCAUUCGGGUGGCUAAUGAAGUUCUAAAAACGACCCCAGAGUUCAGUCAAUGUCAGCGCUUCUUUUGACAUUAAAAGUGAACAAGAGACCUUUAAGAGUCUUUGAUGGUGCGCACACACGUUUAAAGGGCACUUUUAGAGGCGUACGAAAA
This is a long non-coding RNA of Notolabrus celidotus (New Zealand spotty), 2418 nucleotides long. RefSeq lists it as uncharacterized. Lineage: Eukaryota; Metazoa; Chordata; Actinopteri; Labriformes; Labridae. The transcript is spliced from 4 exons. The record is from RefSeq and is a predicted model, not a curated record.